CUGCAUCAGGAUACAUCGUUGGACCCAUCUCCUCUACAUCUAUCUCCUCCUCUUCCCCACUCACUUCCUCAGCCCCGGCGUAGCCCAACGUCUGCUGGACCUCAUCAACCACAUCCAACUCCUCGCUGGAGAUCUCCAUCUCCAAAUAUCCAUCCUCCAUUUUCUCCUCCACCUCUUGGAUGAUCACACUUCUCCUAUACGCCUCCACCACGGAUCCUUUCCCCUUUUCGGUCUUCUGUUUUGUCUCUGUAGAUGAGUCUGUUUCCCUCUCUCUGUUCUCCUUGGAAACCAGAUCUCUUCCUUCCUUGUUGCCUUUGUCGCUCCGAUGAGGAUCCACCAUGUCCUUUGUCCUUGUCAUCGAUAAGGUAACCAGCUCCUCUCGGAGUUUGAAAAAGUCUCCUGUCGCAUCCACGUUUUCCCCGUCUAAAACUUUUUCUGUGUUCUCAAAAUGUUCUCCAUCCUCAACGUUUUCUGUGUUCUCAAAAUGUUCUCCAUCCUCAACGUUUUCUCUUUCAGUCUCUUUGUAGAUGAGAUCUUGAUACUCCAUCUCCUGUCCACAAGUGCUGCUGUUGUGUCCUCCAUCUUUUUCCUCUGGAUGGUCGCUCUCUGUUCGGUUGGUCUGAUCGUCAUUAUCAACGGUUGGUCUAAUGGCCGACUCUCUUUCUAGAGGCUGGGAAGAACUUAUGUUUUUGUUCAUCAGUCUUGAUUCAUUUUGACCGUUGUCACUUUCGUUGGGUUUCAAUAAUUUUCUUUCACUUUGUUUCUGAACUUCAGUUUCACUUUCUUUUGUCUCCUUGCUUUUGGUGGACUUCUUCGUCUUUUGGUGCCUGUGCUUCAGGAGUUCUUGGAACUUCUUGAGACACACAGUGGGUGCCCGACCCUUGGAGGGGGUCCGCUUGACAGCAGGGGGUCUCAAUGGGUCUCUGUCUGAUUCAGUCUCUCCAGAUCUUUUUGGACUGGAGUUCUGUGGCUGACCCGACGGCUGGGGUUGCAGAAUGGUUCCGGUUCCAAUCCCUGAACAGUUGGUAGGAACUUGCUCUUCAUGGGUACUGGGGGAAGUUGUCUGCGGGCUAGGCUUUUGAGCAACUGUUUUAGAUUUAGACAGCACAGGUAGUCUCUGGAACAACUCUACUCUCUCUCCUUUGCCAUGUCCCUCCCUGAGCCUCACCCUUUUCCUGCACUUUCGCUUGUCGUCCUUUCCCUGUGGUUCCCCUCCUCCUUUCUCCUUUACCUGUGGGUCUCCUCCUUUCUCCUUUACCUGUGGGUCUCCUCCUUUCUCCUUUCCCUGAGGUUCUCCUCCUUUCUCCUUUCCUUGCGGUUCUCUUCCAUUUUUCUUUCUCUGCGGUUCUUCUCUUUUCUUUCUCUGCGGUACUCCUCCUUUUUCCCUCUCUGAGGUUCUCCUUCUCUUUUCGUUCUAUGCGAUUCUCCUUCUCUUUUCUUUCUCUGCAGUUCUCCUCCUCCUCCUUUCUUUCCCUGCAGUUCUCCUCCUCCUCUUUUCUUUCCCCGCGGUUCUCCUCUUUCCUUUCCCUGCGGUUCUCCUUCUCCUCUUUCCUUUCCCUGCGGUUCUCCUCUUUCCUUUCCCUGCGGUUCUGCGGUUCCUCUUUCCUUUCCCUGCUCUUUUC
Molecule: long non-coding RNA, 1622 nt
Organism: Oncorhynchus tshawytscha (Chinook salmon)
Lineage: Eukaryota; Metazoa; Chordata; Actinopteri; Salmoniformes; Salmonidae
Source: Ensembl